This 688-nucleotide ribosomal RNA is filed under the name Lactobacillus acidophilus. RNAcentral's name for it is "bacterial SSU rRNA". It matches the Rfam family "Bacterial small subunit ribosomal RNA", at positions 57 to 714 of the family's 1533-position model. The record is from RNAcentral. Lineage: Bacteria; Bacillati; Bacillota; Bacilli; Lactobacillales; Lactobacillaceae.
GCAGUCGAGCGAGCUGAACAACAGAUUCACUUCGGUGAUGACGUUGGGAACGCGAGCGGCGGAUGGGUGAGUAACACGUGGGGAACCUGCCCCAUAGUCUGGGAUACCACUUGGAAACAGGUGCUAAUACCGGAUAAGAAAGCAGAUCGCAUGAUCAGCUUAUAAAAGGCGGCGUAAGCUGUCGCUAUGGGAUGGCCCCGCGGUGCAUUAGCUAGUUGGUAGGGUAACGGCCUACCAAGGCAAUGAUGCAUAGCCGAGUUGAGAGACUGAUCGGCCACAUUGGGACUGAGACACGGCCCAAACUCCUACGGGAGGCAGCAGUAGGGAAUCUUCCACAAUGGACGAAAGUCUGAUGGAGCAACGCCGCGUGAGUGAAGAAGGUUUUCGGAUCGUAAAGCUCUGUUGUUGGUGAAGAAGGAUAGAGGUAGUAACUGGCCUUUAUUUGACGGUAAUCAACCAGAAAGUCACGGCUAACUACGUGCCAGCAGCCGCGGUAAUACGUAGGUGGCAAGCGUUGUCCGGAUUUAUUGGGCGUAAAGCGAGCGCAGGCGGAAGAAUAAGUCUGAUGUGAAAGCCCUCGGCUUAACCGAGGAACUGCAUCGGAAACUGUUUUUCUUGAGUGCAGAAGAGGAGAGUGGAACUCCAUGUGUAGCGGUGGAAUGCGUAGAUAUAUGGAAGAACACCAGUG